GUUUCGAUAGCUCAGUUGGUUAGAGCUCGGGACUGAAAAUCCCGGUGUCGUGGGUUCGACUCCCACUCGAGACA
This 74-nucleotide transfer RNA is filed under the name Micromonas pusilla CCMP1545. RNAcentral describes it as "tRNA-Phe". It matches the Rfam family "tRNA". Rfam says of the family: Transfer RNA (tRNA) molecules are approximately 80 nucleotides in length. The record is from RNAcentral. Lineage: Eukaryota; Viridiplantae; Chlorophyta; Mamiellophyceae; Mamiellales; Mamiellaceae.